This 2467-nucleotide long non-coding RNA is filed under the name Coffea arabica (coffee). RNAcentral describes it as "long non-coding RNA (CARA_LNC005694)". The record is from RNAcentral. Lineage: Eukaryota; Viridiplantae; Streptophyta; Magnoliopsida; Gentianales; Rubiaceae.
GCUCAAAUAUAAUUUAUUGAACUAAAAGUCAGUAACAAAUAAUAACAUCGCAAAUCCCUAACAAAUACAAACUUGAAAAAUUCUCUUGUGCACAAACUAAAAGAUUUCAUCCCUAACAAGUAGAAAGAACUUGCAGUAGCUUCCAAACUUUCCAAUGAAAUGAGAGCCUUCGGUCAUAACCAUGAAUAUCCCAUCAAUCUUCAGCUAGUUCCACCUGUGCACAAAGUUUGUUGGGAUCAUUAGAUCAUCAUAGCUAGCAAUAAAAUUACAAAAAAGCCACGAUAUAAGUAAGUGCAUAUAAUACCAUUUAAACUAAUGUCAUUAAGCAACAGUCCUUAGGCUCAUAUACUUGGCCAACAUAAGUGUUGUCCAGUGAAAUCAUCUAAGAAUGCUAAAAGUCUAGGAAGCAAUAAAAUGAGCACCCAUCCUUGGAUAAGAAAUGGCAGAUUUUGAAUAAAUCGCAUGCUUGCAAAUCCAUUUCAGAAGUGACAAAGUUGCAGGAAUGAACGUUAAGAGGAAAAACAACUCCUCAGUUUCAAAAGCAUGACAUCAACCAAGGUAGACAAAGAAAAAGUAACUUUGACGCUAGACAUUUUGGAUACUGCCAAAGAAUCAGGAAUGCUGCAUAUUUAUCAGAAUAACUAAGUUCCAUACAUAUCCUACAUUUUACAAAUAUAACUGCUGCAAUGGUCACUGGUCCACAUUAGUCAAAGCAGAUAACUGUACCAUGCAAAUGAGAUCUCAAAUGUUAUAAAAGUUGCAGAAAUUUAUCUCAACUGGCGGCUUAAAUGAUACCAUGGAUGAUUAACCAUGAGCCAGAAAACAUUACUUUAAUCACAAUAGUCAGUCAUUGAUUAUGAUACAAAGGCUUACUGCAGGCCGUCAUUGAUUGGGGGAAACUACGGCUUGCUCGAUACCACAACUUUUGUACCUAAUCCAGAUUACUAUAGGUAAUGAUACCACUUAUAUAACCAAUUAGAGUUAGUCAGCAUCAUUUAUCAUUCUAUUGGUUGGUUUAAUUAUUCUUUUAUUGGCAUCACUAUGACUCUCUGGCUAAAUUCUAUUCUGCCUUCCUCGGUGCUCUUCUUUGGCACCAGUUGAUGGGAACAAACGUUUUAGCAACGAACUUCACAGGCACAAAGAAGAUUCGUGCCUAGAUAUCUGCACACGAAUAAUGAAAUAAAACUGAAAUAAAGAUAAGAGUCUGUCGAUAAAUGGGGGAUCAAAUAUCUGCAAAUCUUUUUUCUUUUUUGUUUUGGGCAAAAGCCGCAAGACUUUACUGUCACUUCUUUCAAACACUACCAUGUAUCACAAUUAAGAACUGGUUGUUACUCUUUUUUUUCCUCUUAAGCAGGAAUUAGAAGAAAUCUGUAAGGACAACAGUGCUCAAUUCCAGUAGCAGUUAGCAAAGAUGCUUCAAUUAAAUCAAGUGAAUUAAUUCAAAUUGAAUAAACUAGGCUUCUCUCUUUCACUAGCCUGUCAACAUGUAUCCUUUUAAUACUCUUUCACACGAAGUAUCUGGUCACAUGAAAUUUAUCUGUAAUCACUUUUCUAAGAUUCACCAGUUUCUCGGUUGUCUACUUGACAUUUUAUCGAACAGGUUAUGGACAAUAAAUCCAUAACAAAAUAGUCACACAUAUCAAGUAGACAACCGAGAGGAGUAAAGCUGAACAACAAAUGCACUCAAAUCAUGAACUAUUACUCAUGGAUGUUGUCAACUUAGAUUUCUUUGCAGCUUAGAUUCCUCAAUUGACCUAAAUACGCUAGUCUUGCAACUAUAACAUUUUUCAACAAAAAAACAGGCAGAAGUAAAAUGGAAAUGCAAUGAACAUUUCUUUGCAACAUUUUACAUGGUCAACUCCUCAAACAUGACUUCUACACCAAAAGAAGGAUUUAAACUCUAGAACAUCAGUUAGGGGAGAGCAAACAUUCCUUAUGGAAUCUGGGAAUUCCAAUUAAGCGACAUAUUUAUCAGAGAUGAGGAUUUUAAUCGAUUUGUCUGCCAGCCGCUGUAGCAACAAAAGGCAAGUGGGGAGUCUUCCCGAGCACACUACAGCCCAGCCCAUAAGCAAAGCAGGCUACCAAAAACACAAACAGAGCAUUAUACCCCCAAAUGGUGAGCUUGAGCCCGAGGCCAGUUUGGCCUGGAGACAAAAUCCUCUGAAUCAACAUGGGCACCACCAGAAGAACAUCAAGAACUAGGGCUCUCUUUGCACUUGGAAACUCAGAGAAAGCAGAAACUUGUCGAGCAACAGAUGGAUUGUACUUGAUGCAGUACUUUUUAGUAACGGUUCGAGCCUUUGGCUUAACAGAGGGAAAAUGACAUGGGGUCCAAAGUGUAUUUGGAUGGGGCAGGUUAUGUGUGGAAUCCUCCUGCUAUUGCCCUUCCUCUUUUUGGCUUCUUUCUCUGCUAGUGUUUCUUGUGAGGGAGAUAAGAAGAAGCAAAAUUUGACCAAGUGUUUUGGCC